AUGUGAGAGAUGGUAAUAGAGAAAAUCUGUUUGUGAGAAGAAAUAUUUUAAUUCAACUUAUCACAAGGAAAUGGUUUCUUUCUUGUAAAUAUAAGAUUAAAAAGAUAAAGUAAAUGUAAUUUGUGUCCAUAGUCUACUCUUAUCGUGUUUUCAUACUGAGCUCAUGUAAUUUGCACAAUCUGCAAACAUUCUGGGUGUUGGUGCUAUGUUGGAAGGGUCUUGUAGAUCAUUUGUCAAAAUUGAUAGAAUUCACUCAUCCACUCCACACCACUUCCAUGCCCUCCUUUUAUUAUUAUUAACUCAGCAACCUGAUUUUCUCAUUCUCUCUCUUAAUACAUGUAUGAUAUUUUAGAAAAGUGAGUAUUUUGAAUGUAAUGUUCUAUUUGUUCCAAGCACAUUGUUCAUUUGGAUUCAGUUGAAUUCCAAAAGAUUUA
This 434-nucleotide unclassified non-coding RNA is filed under the name Hevea brasiliensis (rubber tree). Lineage: Eukaryota; Viridiplantae; Streptophyta; Magnoliopsida; Malpighiales; Euphorbiaceae. The record is from RNAcentral.